GACGAACGCUGGCGGCGUGCCUAAUACAUGCAAGUCGAGCGCACAGAUGAUGCGGUUGCUCGCUUCACGUUAGCCGCGGAGGGGUGAGUAACACGUGGAUAACCUACUUAUCUGACUGGUAUAACUUGGGGAAUCCGGAGCAAAUACGAGAUAAUCUCUUGAUCCGCAUUGUUGAAUGGUAAAUGACGGUUUUGCUGUCUCGUAUAGCUGGAUCCGGGCCGCAUUAGCUAGUAGGUAAGGUAACGGCUUACCACGGCAACGAUGCGUAGCCGACCUGAGAGGUGGAUCGCCCACCCGGGAACGGGGACACGCUCCAGACUCCUACGGGAGGCAGCAGAAGGGAACCUUCGGCAAUGGGGGAAAGCCUGACGGAGCAAGCCGGCGGGAGUGAUAAAGGUCUCGGGUUCGUAAAGCUCGGUUUUUGGGGAAGAACAAAUGUGUAAUGAAAUGUGCACGUCUUGACGGUACCUAAUCAGAAAGCCACGGCUAACUACGUG
This 497-nucleotide ribosomal RNA is filed under the name uncultured bacterium. RNAcentral describes it as "partial 16S ribosomal RNA". It matches the Rfam family "Bacterial small subunit ribosomal RNA", at positions 28 to 507 of the family's 1533-position model. The record is from RNAcentral.